GGACGAACGCUGGCGGCGUGCUUAACACAUGCAAGUCGAGCGGUAAGGCCCUUUCGGGGGUACACGAGCGGCGAACGGGUGAGUAACACGUGGGUGACCUGCCCUCAGCUCUGGGAUAAGCCUGGGAAACUGGGUCUAAUACUGGAUAUGACUCCACGGUGCAUGUCGUGGGGUGGAAAGCCUUGUGCGGCUGAGGAUGGGCCCGCGGCCUAUCAGCUUGUUGGUGGGGUGANGGCCUACCAAGGCGACGACGGGUAGCCGGCCUGAGAGGGCGACCGGCCACACUGGGACUGAGACACGGCCCAGACUCCUACGGGAGGCAGCAGUGGGGAAUCUUGCGCAAUGGGCGAAAGCCUGACGCAGCGACGCCGCGUGAGGGAUGACGGCCU
Molecule: ribosomal RNA, 389 nt
Filed under: uncultured bacterium
Lineage: Bacteria
Description: bacterial SSU rRNA
Rfam family: Bacterial small subunit ribosomal RNA
Source: RNAcentral